UCGGGAAUUUUGGGCAAUGGGCGAAAGCCUGACCCAGCAACGCCGCGUGAAGGAUGAAGUAUUUCGGUAUGUAAACUUCGAAAGAAUAGGAAGAAUAAAUGACGGUACUAUUUAUAAGGUCCGGCUAACUACGUGCCAGCAGCCGCGGUAAUACGUAGGGACCAAGCGUUGUUCGGAUUUACUGGGCGUAAAGGGCGCGUAGGCGGCAAUUCAAGUCAUCUGUGAAAUCUCCGGGCUUAACUCGGAACGGUCAGAUGAUACUGCUUUGCUAGAGUGCAGAAGGGGCAAUCGGAAUUCUUGGUGUAGCGGUGAAAUGCGUAGAUAUCAAGAGGAACACCUGUGGCGAAGGCGGCCACCUGGUUGGAUACUGACGCUGAGACGCGAAGGCGUGGGGAGCAAACAGGAUUAGAUACCCUCGUAGUCCCUGAGCGGGCUGGCAAGGCGCAU
RNAcentral lists this ribosomal RNA (447 nucleotides) under uncultured bacterium. RNAcentral's name for it is "bacterial SSU rRNA". It matches the Rfam family "Bacterial small subunit ribosomal RNA", at positions 355 to 825 of the family's 1533-position model. The record is from RNAcentral.